UGGGGAAUAUUGGACAAUGGGCGAAAGCCUGAUCCAGCCAUGCCGCGUGUGUGAAGAAGGUCUUCGGAUUGUAAAGCACUUUAAGUUGGGAGGAAGGGCAGUAAGCGAAUACCUUGCUGUUUUGACGUUACCGACAGAAUAAGCACCGGCUAACUCUGUGCCAGCAGCCGCGGUAAUACAGAGGGUGCAAGCGUUAAUCGGAAUUACUGGGCGUAAAGCGCGCGUAGGUGGUUCGUUAAGUUGAAUGUGAAAGCCCCGGGCUCAACCUAGGAACUGCAUCCAAAACUGGCGAGCUAGAGUAGGGCAGAGGAUGGUGGAAUUUCCUGUGUAGCGGUGAAAUGCGUAGAUAUAGGAAGGAACACCAGUGGCGAAGGCGACCACCUGGGCUCAUACUGACACUGAGGUGCGAAAGCGUGGGGAGCAAACAGG
RNAcentral lists this ribosomal RNA (429 nucleotides) under Pseudomonadota bacterium. RNAcentral's name for it is "Proteobacteria bacterium partial 16S ribosomal RNA". It matches the Rfam family "Bacterial small subunit ribosomal RNA", at positions 355 to 776 of the family's 1533-position model. Lineage: Bacteria; Pseudomonadati; Pseudomonadota. The record is from RNAcentral.